AUGUGCCCAGAUGCCUACAGCAGGCCUGACGAUAAUUCCACUUACGCUUGCCCAUCGGGCACAGAGUACCAGGUCAUCUUCUGUCCCCUGAUUAAUCAAACACUAUUACCUACAGCUGAAAGUCCCCUGCCUGCACCCCCGGCCGAGGCAACACCUCCGACCCCAAGUACUCUGCCUACAGCUAUUGGGCCAACAAGCAUGAAACCGAAAUCCCCCUCUGGAAGAAGAGUUGUUGCAAUUCUAGCUCCUCUAGGCGGCUUCAUUUUACUCACCAUCUUGUUCCUCGUCGCCUUCUUUAUAUGUAAACGAAGAACACAACAACAGCAUGAGAUGGAAGAAGAGGAAGAGUUUGGGGAGCUACAAGGAACACCAAUGAGGUUCACAUUUCAACAACUAAGAGCAGCAACCAAGCAAUUCGCAUACAAGCUCGGGGAAGGAGGAUUUGGGUCUGUUUUCAAGGGACAAUUUGGUGAUCAAAGGAUUGCAGUGAAACGUUUGGAUCGAACUGGUUAG
Molecule: ribosomal RNA, 513 nt
Filed under: Triticum aestivum (bread wheat)
Lineage: Eukaryota; Viridiplantae; Streptophyta; Magnoliopsida; Poales; Poaceae
Description: partial small subunit ribosomal RNA
Source: RNAcentral